AGUGAACGCUGGCGGUAGGCCUAACACAUGCAAGUCGAACGGCAGCACAGUAAGAGCUUGCUCUUACGGGUGGCGAGUGGCGGACGGGUGAGGAAUACAUCGGAAUCUACUUUUUCGUGGGGGAUAACGUAGGGAAACUUACGCUAAUAUAGCAUACGACCUACGGGUGAAAGCAGGGGAUCUUCGGACCUUGCGCGAUUGAAUGAGCCGAUGUCGGAUUAGCUAGUUGGCGGGGUAAAGGCCCACCAGGGCGACGAUCCGUAGCUGGUCUGAGAGGAUGAUCGGCCACACUGGAACUGAGACACGGUCCAGACUCCUACGGGAGGCAGCAGUGGGGAAUAUUGGACAAUGGGCGCAAGCCUGAUCCAGCCAUACCGCGUGGGUGAAGAAGGCCUUCGGGUUGUAAAGACCUUUUGUUGGGAAAGAAAAGCAGCAGGUUAAUACCCCGCUGUUCUGACGGUACCCAAAGAAUAAGCACCGGCUAACUUCGUG
RNAcentral lists this ribosomal RNA (492 nucleotides) under uncultured bacterium. Its description in RNAcentral is "partial 16S ribosomal RNA". It matches the Rfam family "Bacterial small subunit ribosomal RNA", at positions 29 to 507 of the family's 1533-position model. The record is from RNAcentral.